Molecule: ribosomal RNA, 468 nt
Filed under: uncultured bacterium
Lineage: Bacteria
Description: partial 16S ribosomal RNA
Rfam family: Bacterial small subunit ribosomal RNA
Source: RNAcentral
GACGAACGCUGGCGGCGUGCUUAACACAUGCAAGUCGAACGGAAAGGCCCUGCUCUUGUGUGGUGCUCGAGUGGCGCACGGGUGAGUAAUACGUGAGUAACCUGCCCUUGACUUUGGGAUAACUUCAGGAAACUGGGGCUAAUACCGGAUAGGAGCUCCUGCUGCAUUGUGGGGGUUGGAAAGUUUCGGCGGUGGGGGAUGGACUCGCGGCUUAUCAGCUUGUUGGUGUGGUAGUGGCUUACCAAGGCUUUGACGGGUAGCCGGCCUGAGAGGGUGACCGGCCACAUUGGGACUGAGAUACGGCCCAGACUCCUACGGGAGGCAGCAGUGGGGAAUAUUGCGCAAUGGGCGGAAGCCUGAUGCAGCAACGCCGCGUGCGGGAUGACGGCCUUCGGGUUGUAAACCGCUUUCGCCUGUGACGAAGCGUGAGUGACGGUAAUGGGUAAAGAAGCACCGGCUAACUACGUG